RNAcentral lists this ribosomal RNA (476 nucleotides) under uncultured anaerobic ammonium-oxidizing bacterium. Its description in RNAcentral is "bacterial SSU rRNA". It matches the Rfam family "Bacterial small subunit ribosomal RNA", at positions 365 to 832 of the family's 1533-position model. The record is from RNAcentral.
UUCGCAAUGCCCGAAAGGGUGACGAAGCGACGCCGCGUGGGUGAGGAAGGCCUUCGGGUUGUAAAGCCCUGUCAGGAGUUAAGAAAUGUAAGUGCGCUAAUAUCGCAUUUAUUUGACGAAGGCUCCAAAGGAAGUCACGGCUAACUCUGUGCCAGCAGCCGCGGUAAUACAGAGGUGGCAAGCGUUGUUCGGUAUUAUUGGGCGUAAAGAGCACGUAGGUGGUUUUGUAAGUCAGAUGUGAAAGCCUUCUGUUCAAAGGAAGAACGGCAUCUGAAACUACAGAUCUUGAGUGUAGGAGGGGAGAGUGGAACUUCUGGUGGAGCGGUGAAAUGCGUAGAUAUCAGAAGGAACGUCGGCGGCGAAAGCGACUCUCUGGCCUAUUACUGACACUGAGGUGCGAAAGUUAGGGGAGCAAACGGGAUUAGAUACCCCGGUAGUCCUAACCGUAAACGAUGGGCACUAAGUAGAGGGGUUUU